This 1326-nucleotide ribosomal RNA is filed under the name Clostridioides difficile. RNAcentral's name for it is "bacterial LSU rRNA". It matches the Rfam family "Bacterial large subunit ribosomal RNA", at positions 1390 to 2724 of the family's 2925-position model. The record is from RNAcentral. Lineage: Bacteria; Bacillati; Bacillota; Clostridia; Peptostreptococcales; Peptostreptococcaceae.
CCUAAGCUGAGGCCGAAAGGCGUAGGUGAUGGACAACAGGUUGAUAUUCCUGUACUACCGAUAACCGUUUGAGAGAAGGGAUGACACAGUAGGAUAAGCUAAGCACACUGUUGGUUAUGUGUGCCCAAGCAUUGAGGCAGUCAAAGUAGGCAAAUCCGCUUUGAUAAUGCUGGGAUGUGAUGGGGAGCGAAAUUUAGUAGCGAAGUAGCUGAUUUCACACUGUCAAGAAAAGUCUCUAUCGAGGUUAAAGGUACCCGUACCGCAAACCGACACAGGUGGGUGAGGAGAGUAUCCUAAGGCCAGCGAGAGAACUGUUGUUAAGGAACUCGGCAAAAUGACCCCGUAACUUAGGGAUAAGGGGUGCCACCAUCAGGUGGCCGCAGAGAAUAGGCCCAAGCGACUGUUUACCAAAAACAUAGGUUUCUGCUAAGUCGCAAGACGAUGUAUAGGAGCUGACGCCUGCCCGGUGCUGGAAGGUUAAGGGGAUCUGUUAGAGCAAUCGAAGCAGUGAACUUAAGCCCCAGUAAACGGCGGCCGUAACUAUAACGGUCCUAAGGUAGCGAAAUUCCUUGUCGGGUAAGUUCCGACCCGCACGAAAGGCGUAACGAUUUGGGCACUGUCUCAACAACAGACUCGGUGAAAUUGUAAUUCCGGUGAAGAUGCCGGAUACCUGCGACAGGACGGAAAGACCCCAUGGAGCUUUACUGUAGCUUGACAUUGGGUCUUGGUACUACAUGUACAGGAUAGGUGGGAGGCUUUGAAACCAGGACGCCAGUUUUGGCGGAGCCAUCCUUGGGAUACCACCCUUGUAGUACUGGGACUCUAACCAUAGGCCAUGAAUCUGGUCUUGGGACACUGUCAGGUGGGCAGUUUGACUGGGGCGGUCGCCUCCCAAAAGGUAACGGAGGCGCUCAAAGGUUCUCUCAGUACGGUCGGAAAUCGUACGUAGAGUGUAAAGGCAAAAGAGAGCUUGAUUGCAAGACAUACAGGUCGAGCAAGGAUGAAAAUCGGACUUAGUGAUCCGGUGGUUCUGCGUGGAAGGGCCAUCGCUCAACGGAUAAAAGCUACCCUGGGGAUAACAGGCUUAUCUCCCCCAAGAGUCCACAUCGACGGGGAGGUUUGGCACCUCGAUGUCGGCUCAUCACAUCCUGGGGCUGUAGUAGGUCCCAAGGGUUGGGCUGUUCGCCCAUUAAAGUGGUACGCGAGCUGGGUUCAGAACGUCGUGAGACAGUUCGGUCCCUAUCCGUCGCAGGCGUAGGAAAUUUGAGAAGACCUGUCCUUAGUACGAGAGGACCGGGAUGGACGUACCUCUGGUGUACCAGUUGU